RNAcentral lists this ribosomal RNA (497 nucleotides) under uncultured bacterium. RNAcentral's name for it is "partial 16S ribosomal RNA". It matches the Rfam family "Bacterial small subunit ribosomal RNA", at positions 28 to 507 of the family's 1533-position model. The record is from RNAcentral.
GAUGAACGCUGGCGGCGUGCCUAAUACAUGCAAGUCGAGCGAACAGACGAGGAGCUUGCUCCUCUGACGUUAGCGGCGGACGGGUGUGUAACACGUGGAUAACCUACCUAUAAGACUGGGAUAACUUCGGGAAACCGGAGCUAAUACCGGAUAAUAUAUUGAACCGCAUGGUUCAAUAGUGAAAGACGGUUUUGCUGUCACUUAUAGAUGGAUCCGCGCCGCAUUAGCUAGUUGGUAAGGUAACGGCUUACCAAGGCAACGAUGCGUAGCCGACCUGAGAGGGUGGUCGGCCACACUGGAACUGGGACACGGUCCAGACUCCUACGGGAGGCAGCAGUAGGGAAUCUUCCGCAAUGGGCGGAAGCCUGACGGAGCAACGCCGCGUGAGUGGUGAAGGUCUUCGGAUCGUAAAACUCUGUUAUUAGGGAAGAACAAAUGUGUAAGUAACUAUGCACGUCUUGACGGUACCUAAUCAGAAAGCCACGGCUAACUACGUG